This 33-nucleotide ribosomal RNA is filed under the name Clonostachys rosea. RNAcentral's name for it is "partial 18S ribosomal RNA". The record is from RNAcentral. Lineage: Eukaryota; Fungi; Ascomycota; Sordariomycetes; Hypocreales; Bionectriaceae.
CGGGUUUGGGUGGACCAGCGGGAGGGAUCAUUA